RNAcentral lists this ribosomal RNA (465 nucleotides) under uncultured bacterium. Its description in RNAcentral is "partial 16S ribosomal RNA". It matches the Rfam family "Bacterial small subunit ribosomal RNA", at positions 338 to 795 of the family's 1533-position model. The record is from RNAcentral.
CCUACGGGAGGCAGCAGUGGGGAAUAUUGCGCAAUGGGCGAAAGCCUGACGCAGCGACGCCGCGUGAGGGAUGAAGGUCUUCGGAUCGUAAACCUCUGUCAGAAGGGAAGAACGGUUACUGUGCUAAUCAGCAGUGAAUUGACGGUACCUGCAAAGGAAGCACCGGCUAACUACGUGCCAGCAGCCGCGGUAAUACGGAGGGUGCGAGCGUUAAUCGGAAUUAUUGGGCGUAAAGCGCUCGUAGGCGGUAUGUCAAGUCAAGGGUGAAAUCCCCGCGCUCAACGUGGGGACUGCCUUGGAAACUAGCAAACUAGAGUGUGUGAGAGGAUAGUGGAAUUCCAGGUGUAGGAGUGAAAUCCGUAGAUAUAUGGAAGAACAUCAAAGGCGAAGGCAGCUAUCUGGCACAUAACUGACGCUGAGGGACGAAAGCGUGGGUAGCAAACAGGAUUAGAUACCCUAGUAGUC